RNAcentral lists this long non-coding RNA (548 nucleotides) under Ananas comosus (pineapple). Its description in RNAcentral is "long non-coding RNA (ACOM_LNC024079)". The record is from RNAcentral. Lineage: Eukaryota; Viridiplantae; Streptophyta; Magnoliopsida; Poales; Bromeliaceae.
GAAAAUAAAUAAUGGGGUUUUUUUUGCAUUUAGUCCCCUAGAAAAUUUUUAUUUUAAAAAUAGCUCUGUCAAAAUUUAAUUUGCAAAAAUGGCAUUAGGCCUGUCACGUCAGGGCCACGUGGGCAGGGCCGAGGCCCGUGUGUUAAGUUGAACACGGUAAAUCAUUCACUGUGUCUAAACACGGUUAAUGGUUUACUGUAUUUAGUACGUAUUUUUUGUAUAUUAAAAAGAUGAAUAGAAAAUUUGUAUUCCUUUUCUUCUCUUUUUUAGAAAAACCCGAAAACCAAAUUAAAAUCCAAACCCGGAUCCGAACCCGACGGAUUUUAAAAAUUCAUACCAUAUCCAUAUCCGACCAAAAACUCGAAACCCGAACCUGAACCCAGCGGGUUUUAAAAAUUUAUACCGUUGGAUGAAAAUCUAAGGAAUAAAAAUUAUUAAAUAUUUUAUAUAUUGUAUAAAUAAAUAAAAAUAAAUUUUAUAUAUAUAUAUAUAUAUAUAUAUAUAUAUAUAUAAUUUAUUCGGAUUUGGAUUCGGAUAAUAUUUCGGAU